CUUUGCACAACCCAAGAAUCAUAAAAGUGGAGUAAUACAGAGAAGAUUAGCAUUGCCUCUCCACGUUGAUAACACACAUAAAUUGAGAAAUGCUAAGCAUUAGU
This is a small nuclear RNA of Mercurialis annua (annual mercury), 104 nucleotides long. The record is from RefSeq and is a predicted model, not a curated record. Lineage: Eukaryota; Viridiplantae; Streptophyta; Magnoliopsida; Malpighiales; Euphorbiaceae.